GUGCCAGCAGCCGCGGUAAUACGUAGGGGGCAAGCGUUGUCCGGAAUUAUUGGGCGUAAAGCGCGCGCAGGCGGUUCCUUAAGUCUGAUGUGAAAGGCCACAGCUCAACUGUGGAGGGCCAUUGGAAACUGGGGAACUUGAGGACAGAAGAGGAGAGCGGAAUUCCACGUGUAGCGGUGAAAUGCGUAGAUAUGUGGAGGAACACCAGUGGCGAAGGCGGCUCUCUGGUCUGUAACUGACGCUGAGGCGCGAAAGCAUGGGUAGCGAACAGGAUUAGAAACCCCCGUAGUCC
This 292-nucleotide ribosomal RNA is filed under the name uncultured prokaryote. RNAcentral describes it as "partial 16S ribosomal RNA". It matches the Rfam family "Bacterial small subunit ribosomal RNA", at positions 505 to 796 of the family's 1533-position model. The record is from RNAcentral.